Molecule: microRNA, 20 nt
Filed under: Gallus gallus (chicken)
Lineage: Eukaryota; Metazoa; Chordata; Aves; Galliformes; Phasianidae
Description: microRNA Ros-gga
Source: RNAcentral
CAGCGGGUUCGUUUUUGUUU